CUGACAUGGCCUUCUCCUGGAAAGGUUGCUAAGGAGGAGCUCACAAUACCCCACCUCUCCUUGAGGAUGGACACACAGUUAACAGUUGCUGCAGAGAAGAGAGAGAUUCUGAACCUGAAAACUUAUCUACCAGCUAAAAUUUAUUUGCAGGCUGAAAGGCCAUGCUUCUGCAGAUUUCUUGGGUACGUGCACAGCAGUGGAAACCGAGCUACCUCACAAAGUGACAGAACACACACUGCCUCCUUACUGUCCCUCGGUGACUGACACUUCUGUGCUUUAUCUGGUGGAGUCCGCCAAUGUUACUAAGCAUGAGAAGGUCACUGUGAGCCUUAUGGACAAAAUACUUGUUAGAGCGUCUUUCUUGAGCCUUUCUGGUAUUAUCGUCCAUAAGUUCCACAUUCACCAAUCAACAAUACAUAGUACCUUUAACACAGUUCACAUAUAACAGCAUGAGCAGGGGCUGAUAAGACGAUGGGGACCCCAGACCUCCAGGCACCUAAGCCUGACUGUGCUCAAGGCGCAAUGGUUUCCUGCUCCCUACGUGGGUACCAAGCCUUCAGUGUCGUACAAGCCUGUGUGGAGUAGGGUCAGUCACCUGAGAACAGCCACAUCUCAAUUAGCUUCCCCUGUCAUUUCCUCCACCAUCGCUUCCCACUCUUUGCUGCCAUCCUCGUUAAUGGGUUGGAGCUUCACGGGAUGAAAUCUGCCCAUGAAAUGAAUCUCUCAAACACACUUUGUUUUUCCCUGUGUGAAUCUAUGCUAAAUGAAUUUAUUUUCUUAUUAUAAGAAAUAUCAGAUACCCCUUAAUGAUGACUGCCUUAGCAGGCUAAUGCUAUGUAUACGGUGAGCAAAACUAUAUAGAGGGUUUUCAAAGACAUCAGCACAAAUUGGAAAUCUUACCUUUAUUACCCAAGUCAGAGAUUUUAUUGGAGAAAAAAAUUACAGUAUGUAAAAAAUCUAAACAAGGACCAUUCAGGGUUGUGAGAAAGAAGGACUUCAGGAGUCCUGUUUGCAGUAAAAAUCUGACCAGGAAACCACGUCAUGACCUAACGCACUCAUUCCAUGUAAACCGUGCGGAGAGUAUCUCCGUGAAGGGAGACCUAAUCACCUCUUUACAAUAUAGACGGGGAAGGCAGCUUUUGGUAUGGUGAAGCCAUGUAUCAUCAACACUAUGAAGCUAGCCUAUCAGUGUAAUAGCUUCUAUAAAAUACCACAGUGAGGCUGCAAUAAGCGGAGAAAAUGGGCUACAAAUCCCAGCUAUGCUCAAGCAAGCAGUGGACCAAAAAUAAAAUAGGUAAAACUAAGCCAAGAAUUAGAUAGCACUCAUCUGGAUUCAUGAUUGGUGAGGCAAAGUUCAUAGGCUGGGCUGUUUCAGUGACUUAUUCAGAUCUAAGGGACGGUGACCAGAAAAAACAAAAGCACUCUAAUUCAGAAAAUACAUGAACUGUUGCUCUGAGACACACUAUAAAAAUCCCUACUGUGAUCACUAAGCACACCUCUGCACCUUUAAACAUGGGGAAGUCAGGAGGCUCUAUUUCACCGUGUCGCCUUUAGUCUCUCCAAAGACGUCAGAUAUUUCUACUUGAUUUUUAAAUCUUUCAGGACAUAUAAUCUGAGGUAAAAGCAAUGUCAACUUUACAUUUCCUUCCCAAUCAUAUUUAAUGUAGCCAUUAAAUGCUGACCUGACAAUCAAAUUAUACAGCAUGAAAACAUCCAAUCACAAAGACCAUCAGUUAUGGGAAUUUUAGAAAAAUAGUAAUCAUUUUAAAAUAACCAUCUUAAAAACUCAAAUGGCUUGAACUACUAAAAUGUAAGGAUUAUCACCAGUGAAAACGUUUGAUUUCCCUGCUGACUGGUGAAAAUGAGCUUACGCAAGUAUUUCUAAAACUCGAUGGCACACACGCGCUGCCAUCCUAAGGGUGACUCUCACUUUAGACACGAUGGGGACACUGGGUCCUGCAGCACUGUUGAAACAGCCGGCUCGGUCAUCUCGUCAGCUCGGAGCCAGCGAGGCAGCUAGACUAGUUCAAGGCUGACACAACCACUGGAAAUGUAGGAGCAGGUGAUGCCCUGAUGCUGACCAGUUUGUCCUCACUGUGCUGCGUGAGAGGCAGGGCUUUUGCAGUGCAGUAAAAACUACAGUAACAGGACUAAUACAGAACAAUGAUCCAAGGAUGAAGAAAGCUGAAUAAAACAAACUUCAGCAGAGAUUAUCAACCUCCCGAUUAUUCACAGCACUAGUUUAAAUCACGCUGCUACAGGAGACGCCUGUUACAAUGAACCAUGAACGGCUAGCAUCAUUUCUUAUUUACAACAGUCAGAGAUCAAGACUGAAUCUUAACCAGUCAUAGAAAUAUUAGAAUACUUGGGUUAAGUGUAGUUUUCAAUUUUCUAUCUUUAGUUACCAUUUGGCAAAGCAAGCAAUACAUAAAAAGAUCCAAUGUUUAAAAACAUAAAAGAAAAAUACAUAAAAAUACACACUGGGCCGACCUACAUCCCAGGGAAGCCUCCCCAUCAGAUUCACUUCUGGCUAAAAGAACACCAAUCCUGCAGCAAAAACAGCCCCAGGUCUGCAUCAGAGGUCGGCGAGUCAGUGCGUCCCUCCAGGGAAGAGGACAGGAGCCAGGUUCCCUCCAAUGCCAUUCCCCAGGUGUUCAAACAAAUUAAUUUAUUAGCAUUAGAAGAUCUGACUUAUAGGGGAAUCACACUGGUCCAGUUUGUAGCCUACAAAAAAAUGGAUUAUUUUUAAGUAUAACAUUAGAAUAUAAGUGAAAAAUGAGGAUGUGACUUUUUAUUCCAGAGAAAUGGAAAUAUUUCCAAUCAUGAAAUUCAAUAAAAAAGCAUGCCUACCAUUGAAGGUGGAGCCCCUGCAGAUUUCUUAAUAUUCUUUGAAGGCACUCCAUGAAGGCAACUGAGUCUAGCUUGGAAACCUGGGAAAUCAAACAGUCGAUUUAGAAGACAUAGUGACCACUAGGGCACAGAAGACCCUGUCAACAGAGAAUUAACCUAAUUUGCUGAUAGUUGUGAACACCAAGAAAACUACUGUGGAAAAUGAACUGAGGUAAGUCCCAGCAGGGCUCUUAGGUUUGACUGGCUUGCAUUCACACGCUAGAACUCUUACCAGGAAACACCAUUCUGAAGAACGCAGUAAGACAGCCAGCAUUUUCACUGAUGUCAAAAUGGGGGACUGCAGUACUUGGACUAGGAUCCAGCAAGCUUCUCUACAGCAUUCUGUGUUUCUACUGUUUCACUUUGCUCUAGCCUUUCAGUCAGUCUAUCCAGGAGGAGCCACAGGCUAAGGGGAUCAGCACCCAGGGAGAGCUACUGACCUCUUCUGCCAGGAUGUGACAUGAGAGGGAAGGAGCCACUUAAGAUGCUCUCAAACACGGGGUCGGGGAGGUUGGUGUCCAGCUCUACGGGGCCUUCCUCUUCCCACCAGGGCGCGACUCCAGCAAUUCCACAGGCUCCGCCCGACUCCUUCUCAUAGAACCAGUCGCUCUGCUCAUCGUCACCUGAACAAAGACAAAACCCACCCAAGAGUCAGGCUUGUCACGGCAAUAGGUAUUCCAGGGACGACAAUCAGUCACUGAUGUGAUGAGAGGAACCUAGCAGGCUGCUAAAAUGACCCUCAAAUCCACCUAACCUCAGGGAGCAGCAACAUUUUACCUUUCUCUUAAGGAAUUACUAAGAGCUAUAAAGAGACAAACAUAUAAAAAUGAUUAAAUAUAGAAUGUAGACAGCUUAAAAAAUAAGAAAAAGUAAUAUUUGAAAGAGUGUCACUAACUGUGCCUGAGAUCCCAAGGAGCCUCGAGUGCUGUGGCUUGCUUGGCAGAGUUUCCACUCAUGAGCUUGCCCUUUGAAGGACUCCUGACUUUGAAAUUUCUUACUAUUAAGAUGAAAACUGCAAUCAUGAAACAAAAGCAGUGCAAAGAAGCCCAAAGUUUAGCUGAGGAUGAUACACGAGAAACAGAUAAACAGUUAAAAGCAACUGUAAAGUGAGAAUCACAAGACUUUAAAUUAGAGAACAAAAAUAUUUUGUUAAAAAAUUAAAAUUUAUAAAACUUAAAUAUUAACAUUUCAUAGAAGAGGUAAAUUAAAAUGUCACAGAGCAGGUCUAUAAAAUGCAAGCAGGGACUCACUUGACUUUCUUGUACCUGAAUUGUCAUUAGCACAACAUAACCAGGUAUGGACACAAGCCUAAUCCCACCACUGCACUUGGAAGGCACGGCUGAAGAAGGCAAGUUACAUACACACAGAACCUGUCCCAAAAAGGAAAGCAAAAACUACUCUGGAAAAAUGAAGUUAUUUGACCUCACUUUUAUAUGAUGUGCAACCAUACUGUGAAAAGUAAAUCAACAGUCAUUAAGAGCAUGGGCAAGGACAGGAUGGGUGAGGUAAAACUCUACCUCCUGUAACAUGGAGAAAGCCACUUCCGCUGGAUUAGUUCCCCAUUCAAAAUAAAUAAAUAAAAACUGGAACUCACACAGUUCUUAAUGAAUGAAAUGAAACGAGAACAAGGUAAAUGAAUUGAUAGAAAAUCCCUCAGCAACAUGAGAUGCAGCGAACUCACAAUUUCUGUGUUAUUUCUUCUGAAAGCCAGUGCUUCUAAAGAGUACCAGGCUGGCCAAGAAGUUCUUUUUACUAAAGUUUAGCGUUUUGUUUGAUCAUAUCAGCAUCUGUAAGCCGGGCAAGGUCUGUAUUUUAACAAAAUUUGAGUCUAUUAUCCAGGUACCUCUCCUGACAUGCUCCUGAGAAAGCGCACAGAUGUGGAAAGAGCAGUCAUCGAUGUGUGUUCCUCACCAAGGAGGUCUGCGAGACAACAUGGGCACCAUUACCCAUCUAAGGCAAUAAAUACUCUGUUUCUUUCUGUAGAUC
Non-coding RNA from Rattus norvegicus (Norway rat), 4875 nucleotides. NCBI's taxonomy places the organism in Eukaryota, Metazoa, Chordata, Mammalia, Rodentia, Muridae. The record is from RefSeq and is a predicted model, not a curated record.